This 1513-nucleotide long non-coding RNA is filed under the name Anas platyrhynchos platyrhynchos (common mallard). RNAcentral's name for it is "lncRNA (ENSAPLG00000028488.1)". Lineage: Eukaryota; Metazoa; Chordata; Aves; Anseriformes; Anatidae. The record is from RNAcentral.
UAAUUCCUCUCAUUCUUUUGAAAUGCUUUUCUUCUGAUUUGGGAAAUGUUGAGUGUUUAAGUCCUAGUAAUCAUGGUUAAACACUAGUAACAAUAAAAUAUUCAUAUAAGAAACGGACUGAUAAAAUUAUUCUGUUUGCUUAUUCAUAAAUCAUGAAAAAAACUGAUUGACCUUGCUUUACUUGUCAGCUAAGCAGCACAAAUAAUUUCACAUCUAUUUGCUCCAUCUUCAGUUUUGAUCUAUUUUUGUUCAUCAUACCUGUGUAUAUUUGGAACAACAUUUGGAUACGCAGUAGUGCCCAUUUGUGGUUUCCUUUUUCCUAUUUUCCCUUUUGUAUUUUCCUGUGGUCAUUCUCUGCAUUCAUUGCAGCAUACAAUAAUUCUAGACAAGAGACAUGCACAACACGCAAAUGCUUGUUCAGACACAGGCAGAGAAGCAAGAACAUGUUACAGCCCAACCUCCAUUAGUACAUAACUGACAAAUUACGUUGCAUUCACCUAACAUUUCCUCUGCUAUUGUACUGAAUUUUUGCAUGUUAUUUAUGAGCUGCUGCAUUUGACUCCGCAGUGGCUGCAUUUACCUCAAUGAAAAAAUCACAGUUUUGUAAAACUCAUUAGGUUUUGCUCAUAUUUAUGUCACCUUUGCUCAGAGUUUGACAGGCUGUAAAAACCAAGUGAGUUGUAGAGUUAGCCCGAUAUCUGCAAGGUGUAAAGUGUUGCUCUGUCAUGAGAGGUGUCUGUGUAAACACGCAGAGAGCUCUUUGUGGCUGUGCCUGCCGGUUCAUGUAAAGCCACCCGUCCCAGAGAGCCAGCUGGGAAGAAAGCACUAAAGGUGGCUGGGGAGCACAGGGGGGUGAGAAGGAUGAUCUGGUGGGCUGAAUAACGAGGCCAAAGGUGUUGCUGCUUAGGCAUUGUCCCUGCAGGAGGGAACCUCAGCUGCUGCUUUCAACCUGCCUGGCAUAAGGAGGGCACUGGAACGGGGGACAAAGGAUGGGGCUGGGGUUGCAGAGGUGGUGGCAUGGGGACACCCAGGCAGAGGGACAUGGGGACACCAGUGUGCCCUGCCUCUGUCCUGCUCCUGGUGUUGCUCCACUCAGCUGUAAAGUGUUAGUAUGGUACCAAAAUCCCCUGGGUCUUCUCACUCUGUGCAGCCCCCUUACCAUUUCACAUGAGGUAAGAGAUGCAGCACUCCCAGCUAUACCCAAAACUUAUUUCAUAUCACUCCAGUGUUGGUAACCAUAGAAUUUAUAGACUGCCUCUGGAACCCUCAAAGAAGAGUAAGUCCAUUAAAAACUCCCAGGGAAACCAGCACUGAAAGUCACUUGUAGUGUUGACACCGUGCCUGAUUUGUGUCCUUAUCCCUGUAAUCUCAGUAAAGGUCAAAUCAGAGCAUUGAGCAGUUUUUGUUCUGUGGAUCUGCACAUUUUUCACUACUUGGAAUUUAUUAAGGAAAAUAAUACUUAGUAACUUUUGUGAAUCUCUCUCUCUCUCUUUUUUUUUAAAAAUUUUUUUUU